RNAcentral lists this ribosomal RNA (253 nucleotides) under uncultured bacterium. Its description in RNAcentral is "partial 16S ribosomal RNA". It matches the Rfam family "Bacterial small subunit ribosomal RNA", at positions 524 to 776 of the family's 1533-position model. The record is from RNAcentral.
UACGGGGGGGGCAAGCGUUGUUCGGAAUUACUGGGCGUAAAGGGCGCGUAGGCGGCCUUCUAAGUCGAACGUGAAAUCCCUGGGCUCAACCCAGGAACUGCGUCCGAUACUGGGAGGCUUGAAUCCGGGAGAGGGAUGUGGAAUUCCAGGUGUAGCGGUGAAAUGCGUAGAUAUCCGGAAGAACACCGGUGGCGAAGGCGGUCUGCUGGGGUAAUGCUGACACUGAUGCGCGACAGCGUGGGGAGCAAACAGG